UACAGGGAUAAAGAAGGAAGCUCUCUUGCUGCAGAAUUAAGAGGCAUCAGUUAAAUACUGCCAGGCUCAGCUUCAGCAGCUGCCAGAGGCCCUGAUGCAAAGCAUUUUAAGAGGAGCAUUCUCUGUUCCCACAGGCCACAGUUUCUACUCAGGAGCAAAGAAGGGAGUGGGACAGUGCUACAAGCUAGUGCCCAGGAAAGGAGAAAAAAUGAGCAGGCCAAGAAGGAGGCAGAUGAAAAGGAACAGGAGCUGCUAAGACAGCAGCAGAAGGAGCAGCAGGAAACAUGAAGGCCCAAGAGAGAAGCUUCCGGGAAAUAUGGAACAGCUUAAAGAGAUCAUAGAGAAAGGGAGAACAUUCUGAGAAGCAAGAAUGGAUGCUGGAGCACAAGCUGAAGGUCCAAGAAGAACUGCUUACAAGGAAUUUAGAGAGAAAUUGGAGGGAAGAAAUACAGAGAUAAAUUGACUAAGAGAAGAUAUUGAAACAUGUAAAAAGUAAAAAUCAAUGUUUUCACACA
Molecule: non-coding RNA, 515 nt
Organism: Ictidomys tridecemlineatus (thirteen-lined ground squirrel)
Lineage: Eukaryota; Metazoa; Chordata; Mammalia; Rodentia; Sciuridae
Source: RefSeq, a predicted model, not a curated record